Molecule: ribosomal RNA, 460 nt
Filed under: uncultured bacterium
Lineage: Bacteria
Description: partial 16S ribosomal RNA
Rfam family: Bacterial small subunit ribosomal RNA
Source: RNAcentral
CCUACGGGAGGCAGCAGUGAGGAAUAUUGGUCAAUGGUCGGGAGACUGAACCAGCCAAGCCGCGUGCGGGAUGAAGGUACUGUGUAUUGUAAACCUCUUUUGUCCGGGAACAAAGCCCGAGACGCGUCUCCGGUUGAGAGUACCUGACGAAAAAGCAUCGGCUAACUCCGUGCCAGCAGCCGCGGUAAUACGGAGGAUUCGAGCGUUAUCCGGAUUUAUUGGGUUUAAAGGGUGCGUAGGCGGUUUGAUAAGUUAGCGGUUAAAGGUCGGGGCUCAACCCCGGCACGGCCGUUAAAACUGUUGGACUAGAGAAGAGGUGCGGUAGGCGGAAUGUACGGUGUAGCGGUGAAAUGCUUAGAGAUCAUACAGAACACCGAUUGCGAAGGCAGCUUACCAACCCAUAUCUGACGCUGAGGCACGAAAGCGUGGGUAGCGAACAGGAUUAGAUACCCCUGUAGUC